Molecule: ribosomal RNA, 301 nt
Filed under: uncultured bacterium
Lineage: Bacteria
Description: partial 16S ribosomal RNA
Rfam family: Bacterial small subunit ribosomal RNA
Source: RNAcentral
CAGCCGCCGCGGUAAUACGAAGGGGGCUAGCGUUGUUCGGAUUUACUGGGCGUAAAGCGCACGUAGGCGGAUUCUUAAGUCAGAGGUGAAAUCCCAAGGCUCAACCUUGGAACUGCCUUUGAUACUGGGGACCUCGAGUCCGGGAGAGGUGAGUGGAACUGCGAGUGUAGAGGUGAAAUUCGUAGAUAUUCGCAAGAACACCAGUGGCGAAGGCGGCUCACUGGCCCGGUACUGACGCUGAGGUGCGAAAGCGUGGGGAGCAAACAGGAUUAGAUACCCGCGUAGUCCCUGUCUCUUAUAC